UCUGAAAUUGGCUCCAGAGUGACCUGUC
This 28-nucleotide non-coding RNA is filed under the name Rattus norvegicus (Norway rat). The record is from RNAcentral. Lineage: Eukaryota; Metazoa; Chordata; Mammalia; Rodentia; Muridae.